CAUAAAGGAGCCCUUGACAUGUAGUGGCCCCUCAAUAAGUAUUUUUUGAAUUAUUGAAUGCUAUGCCUUUCUUUCUUAUUAUACCAGAAAUCUGAGAGGACACAAGAGGCUAGACCUGCCAUCUUACCCCCUCAGGGAGCCUGAGACUGAGCCAACAGAGCACAAAGCAUGCGGCAGGUAGAGACACGUGAUUAUAUCUGGGAGCCCUGAAUCUUGCCAUGCCUGAAGCCAGAGCUGCCCUUGGUCUUCUCACUGCCAUGAGCCAGUUCAGCAUCAAGUGGAGACGAGGAGAGAGUUGGGGGUUGGCAGUGAAGAUAGGAGCGGCCUUCCCCAGGGAACAGGAGGCUCCUUCUUGACUGCUUGAACCUACAACCAGAAAUGCUUAGUGCUGGAAUUUCCCUGGAGAUGGGGGCUGCUGGAAGCAGAAGCCAAGCUUCAGGGACCCCAUACUGGAAACCUACAUGAGUUCAAAUCCUGACUCGGCCACUUACUACUCUGCAUCCUGGGGAAAUAUGGAACAAAGAAUACAAGACUUAGCAGAGAGAAACGUCUACUCCAUGGAGGCACUCAACCAUGAGAACAUUUUUGAAAGAUAGAGAUGGGCACUGAACGAGGGAGGAAAUGCCUGAGCUGAGCAGACUGGAGCAGGAGACUCUGCUGGCUGGCUUGAUGAAGUCAAGCCGUGUUGAAGAAGCCGCCGUGGCAAGGAGCUGCAAGUAGACCCCCGUUAUCAUGGGCGGCCUCUAUGGCCUGCAGAUGGAAUGCAGCUGAUGGCCAGCCAAAACCGAGGCCCACAGUCUUACCGUGAUAAGAAAGUCAACUCCUCCAGCAAGCUAAAGAAGCUUGGAAGCAGACUUUCCUCCAAUCAAGCUUCCAGAUCAGAACGAACCCAGUGGACAACUUGAGUGCAACCUUACAAGACCCUGAGCAGAGGAGCCAGCUAAGCUGUGUCCAGACCCUUAACCCACAGGAAAUGUGAUAUAAAAAUGUAUACUUUCAAAGCCUCUAAAUUUCUGAUAAUUUGUUACAGCAAUAGAAAACAAAUAUAUCCCCCACUAGACUAUAAGCUCUGUGCGGGCAGGAACCACGUCCAUGGCGUACCCCUCAUCGUACCUCCAGCAACCUACAGCGUGCUUCACAAAUAUUUAUUGACUGGAUGUGCAUCAUCCCUACAACACUUAUAAGCACUCCAUAAGGAGGAUCAUUUUUACUCGAGUUUUCCUCGAGUGAAUCCAAGAUUCACACAGAAAGAGAAGAGACAGGACUUGAAUGAGCAUUUCCUCAGACCAGACCCCAAGCUCACUCUCUCACAUCUGUAGGAACAGUGCGGGCUUUCCAUCCCAGCAGGCCCAGACAUUACUGUCCCUCACCCACACUCACGGCAGACACAUCACUGAUAAAUCCCUGUAUGCUCUCAGGCUGAGUCCAUUGCAAACCUUCUCAACUCAGCAUUUUGGUAGCCACGAGCAAUUGAUCAGAGCUGGCCCAAGAGAGGAAACCUAUUUAUCAUCUGAGCUCUCAGCUCUUAGUUCUCUUCAUGUCUCCGUGCAGCUGAAUUUGGGAUCUAUCCCUAGGAAUGUGCAGGAAAUAAUAGGAAAGCAAUGAAAGGCUGGGCAUAGAUAGAGUGGUACCCAGGAAA
This is a long non-coding RNA of Prionailurus viverrinus (fishing cat), 1639 nucleotides long. RefSeq lists it as uncharacterized. NCBI's taxonomy places the organism in Eukaryota, Metazoa, Chordata, Mammalia, Carnivora, Felidae. The record is from RefSeq and is a predicted model, not a curated record. The transcript has 4 exons.